GCAUAUCAAUAAGCGGAGGAAAAGAAACCAACAGGGAUUGCCCUAGUAACGGCGAGUGAAGCGGCAACAGCUCAAAUUUGAAAUCUGGCGUCUUUGGCGUCCGAGUUGUAAUUUGCAGAGGGCGCUUUGGCAUUGGCAGCGGUCCAAGUUCCUUGGAACAGGACGUCACAGAGGGUGAGAAUCCCGUACGUGGUCGCUAGCCUUUACCGUGUAAAGCCCCUUCGACGAGUCGAGUUGUUUGGGAAUGCAGCUCUAAAUGGGAGGUAAAUUUCUUCUAAAGCUAAAUACUGGCCAGAGACCGAUAGCGCACAAGUAGAGUGAUCGAAAGAUGAAAAGCACUUUGGAAAGAGAGUUAAAAAGCACGUGAAAUUGUUGAAAGGGAAGCGCUUGCAGCCAGACUUGCCUGUAGUUGCUCAUCCGGGUUUUUACCCGGUGCACUCUUCUAUAGGCAGGCCAGCAUCAGUUUGGGCGGUUGGAUAAAGGUCUCUGUCAUGUACCUCUCUUCGGGGAGAACUUAUAGGGGAGACGACAUGCAACCAGCCUGGACUGAGGUCCGCGCAUCUGCUAGGAUGCUGGCGUAAUGGCUGUAAGCGGCCCGUCUUGAAACACGGACCAAGGAGUCUAACAUCUAUGCGAGUGUUUGGGUGUCAAGCCCGAGCGCGUAAUGAAAGUGAACGGAGGUGGGAACCUUUCGGGGUGCACCAUCGACCGAUCCUGAUGUCUUCGGAUGGAUUUGAGUAAGAGCAUAGCUGUUGGGACCCGAAAGAUGGUGAACUAUGCUUGAAUAGGGUGAAGCCAGAGGAAACUCUGGUGGAGGCUCGCAGCGGUUCUGACGUGCAAAUCGAUCGUCAAAUUUGGGCAUAGGGGCGAAAGACUAAUCGAACUAUCUAGUAGCUGGUUCCUGCCA
This 907-nucleotide ribosomal RNA is filed under the name Coniothyrium laburniphilum. Its description in RNAcentral is "LSU rRNA". It matches the Rfam family "Eukaryotic large subunit ribosomal RNA", at positions 38 to 963 of the family's 3401-position model. The record is from RNAcentral. Lineage: Eukaryota; Fungi; Ascomycota; Dothideomycetes; Pleosporales; Coniothyriaceae.